RNAcentral lists this ribosomal RNA (173 nucleotides) under uncultured bacterium. RNAcentral's name for it is "partial 16S ribosomal RNA". It matches the Rfam family "Bacterial small subunit ribosomal RNA", at positions 1320 to 1500 of the family's 1533-position model. The record is from RNAcentral.
GUGAAGCUGGAUUCGCUAGUAAUCGCGCAUCAGCCAUGGCGCGGUGAAUACGUUCCCGGGCCUUGUACACACCGCCCGUCAAGCCAUGGAAGCCGGGAGUGCCUGAAGUGUGCAACCGCAAGGAGCGCCCUAAGGUAAAACUGGUGACUGGGGCUAAGUCGUAACAAGGUAUC